ACAAUGCAUCUGGAAUCUGCAUUCGAGUAUGAGUAUGUUUUCCUUGGUCAAUGAAAGAAAUGUUUCUGUUGUAUUAUGAUAAUAUCAUAAUAUGAAGAUGUUGAUUUGUAUUUCAUGUUUGAAGUUGUGACUGUUUAAAAGAGUGGCAUGCACCAACACUUCUUCAAAUACAGGAGAAAGAAAACCCCCCGUGGCGCAAUGGGAGACAAGUUAGUAAGGCAGGCAACCGAUGAGAAUUGAAGUCUUUAAGUGCUAUUUGGCUAGUCUUUGUUAAAAGAAACAGAGAUCAGGUCCUUUCUGCUCACCUUGUAUGGAAUAUGAGGUUGAUAAUAACCCUGGUGCAUUUGAAUUUGUGCGGAUAUUAUCUAUCAGGUGCUUCACACCAAAUGAAGUUCUUAAUUUAUUACAAUAAUUUAUUACAAUAAUUAAUUUUAUUAUUAUAAGGAGAGUAAAUAAUAAUUUUCGUCAAAAAUUUCUAUGUUUUUUUUCUGUAGCCUGUAUCAGCUCGCCCAGUCGAGCUGUGUCAUUGCUCAGUAAGCAUAGAAAACAAAAACAGCAAAGCUCCUGGCAAUGACUGGGCGUCUCAGAUCGCGUCUCCCUCUUCUCACCAGGAUUAUGAGAUCCGAUUCCCUCUCUGCUUCCUGAUCGGCGUUUCAAUGCUUCGUUCUCCGCCCUGCUUUCUUAUCCGAGGUAGCCCUGCAAAACCCAAUAACUCUUGAAAUCUUAACACAGGUAAAGUGAAAUAGUAAUUUAGGGCUGAGUUGAGCAACGAUUGUGCCUUUUUUAUCAGGUCUUACAAUGAUGGCUGUUCCCUGUUCUAUAAUCUCGUUUCACUAUAAUUGAUUUGAUUUUGCACCGUAGUUCUUGCAUGUUCUAUACAAACUGUAGGAAUCAUUAUUAAUUUUCGAGAGCAAGUUGUUUCUGCCUUCUCUCUUCUUGUGCACUGAGUAAUGACUAAUUAUGCUACUGCAUAGGGACAAAAGGAGGAGAAGGUUAAGUUAAGUAAACUUAUUGUUUUGAUGGUGCUUAUUGGACAUAUGAAUGUGUGUCUGUUUGCGUGUGUAUGCGCGCUCGCAUGCAAAAGUAUGGUUGUGACCAUUCUUUAGGCAUUGAUGAACAAAAGAUGUCCUUUUGGCUUAGAUGAAUCAAAAUUGGAUUCGGUUAUAUUAAAUAAAUUUCCACUGCUUUUCUUGAAAACUCCAUGAUAGAGAUUAAGUGGGACAAAAUGCAUCUUCUUAUAGCAUGGCUAUUUCAUGUAGCAUUUUCAAGUGACCCUUGAUUGUAAUUGUUCUUUAAAGAAAUAGAAAAACUUUUUUAUUAGAGAAGACUAAAGAAAAGGUGCUUAUCAUUCAUUUUACAUGAUAAUAUCGAAGCUAUAACUUGUACUGUGAUUUUUUGAAGAUUGUCAUAUCAGACAUUACAUGUUUGUAAACCUUUUGGUUAACAGUGAACAUUUUGUUCUCUUUUUUCUGAUAUUUUUCUUACUUUAUGGUGCUAUAAGACACUGGAUUAUUAUUUGAUGCUGAUACAACAGUGUGAUUAACUUUGUUUUAGACCUGACUGGGAAAUGUGAUUUGGCAUGUAAUCAUUGAAUUGUUAAAUGUUUUUUUUUAAAUGUCAUAUGAAUUCAAAACUAGGAAAUGAAGUUUGAACUUGCAAUAUGUCUUUAUUUACAGAGGGGCACUAAACAUUAAAAUUAAUUAUCUUUAUUUGUUUUAAUCCUGCUUUGAUGGUUCUGUCUACUUGCUCUGUUUGGGGAUCUGGAAACUAUGCUUUUGCUUUGUACCUUGCUGGCAAAAAUGCUAAUGCAUAGGAAAAAGUUGAGUCUGACUGAAAUUCUUGACUUUGUGGAGGCUUCAAAGAAAAACCCUACAUUUGCUGAGUUCACAAAGGACUUGACAGUGCCUUCUGAUACAAGAGUCAAGGCCAUUUUCGAAAUUUGUGCCCAAGCUAAAUUUUCAGAUGU
Molecule: unclassified non-coding RNA, 1966 nt
Filed under: Hevea brasiliensis (rubber tree)
Lineage: Eukaryota; Viridiplantae; Streptophyta; Magnoliopsida; Malpighiales; Euphorbiaceae
Source: RNAcentral